This 534-nucleotide ribosomal RNA is filed under the name uncultured Sistotrema. Its description in RNAcentral is "eukaryotic LSU rRNA". The stretch from base 176 to 330 matches the Rfam family "5.8S ribosomal RNA". The record is from RNAcentral. Lineage: Eukaryota; Fungi; Basidiomycota; Agaricomycetes; Corticiales; Corticiaceae.
GAGGGUUGUAGCUGGCUUAAGCAUGUGCACGCCCUCUUUCUCGACCAAGGUCCUUAUGGGCGCGGGGCGACCCGCGUCUUCAUAAGCCCCUUCGUGUASAAAGUCUAUGAAUGUUUUUACCAUCAUCGACUCGCGACUUCUAGGAGACGCGWUUCUUUGAGACAAAAGUUAUUACAACUUUCAGCAAUGGAUCUCUUGGCUCUUGCAUCGAUGAAGAACGCAGCGAAUCGCGAUAUGUAAUGUGAAUUGCAGAUCUACAGUGAAUCAUCGAAUCUUUGAACGCACCUUGCGCUUAUCGGUGUUCCGAUGAGCAUGCCUGUUUGAGCGUCAUUAAAUUCUCAACCCCUCUCGAUUUGCUUCGAGAGGGGGCUUGGAUCGUGGAGGCUGCCGGAGACCUGUUUUUCAGGACUCGGGCUCCUCUGAAAUGUAUUGGCUUGCGGUCGACUUUCGACUGCGCAUGACAAGGCCUUUGGCGUGAUAAUGAUCGCCGCUCGCCGAAGUGCACGAACGAAUGGUCUCGUGCCUCUAUCAGUC